RNAcentral lists this ribosomal RNA (297 nucleotides) under Triticum aestivum (bread wheat). RNAcentral describes it as "partial small subunit ribosomal RNA". It matches the Rfam family "Eukaryotic large subunit ribosomal RNA", at positions 1890 to 2184 of the family's 3401-position model. Lineage: Eukaryota; Viridiplantae; Streptophyta; Magnoliopsida; Poales; Poaceae. The record is from RNAcentral.
AUGGAACAAUGUAGGCAAGGGAAGUCGGCAAAACGGAUCCGUAACUUCGGGAAAAGGAUUGGCUCUGAGGACUGGGCUCGGGGGUCCCGGCCCCGAACCCGUCGGCUGUCGGCGGAUUGCUCGAGCUGCUCACGCGGCGAGAGCGGGUCGCCGCGUGCCGGCCGGGGGACGGACCGGGAAUUGCCCCUUCGGGGGCUUUCCCCGAGCAUGAAACAGUCGACUCAGAACUGGUACGGACAAGGGGAAUCCGACUGUUUAAUUAAAACAAAGCAUUGCGAUGGUCCUCGCGGAUGCUGA